GGAUUGCCCUAGUAACGGCGAGUGAAGCGGCAAAAGCUCAAAUUUGAAAUCUGGCCUCUAGGGGUCCGAGUUGUAAUUUGCAGAGGAUGCUUUUGGUAGAGCACUAUCCGAGUUCCCUGGAAUGGGACGCCAUAGAGGGUGAGAGCCCCGUCUGGUUAGCUGCAAAGCCUCUAUAAAGCUCCUUCAACGAGUCGAGUAGUUUGGGAAUGCUGCUCAAAGUGGGAGGUAUAUGUCUUCUAAAGCUAAAUACCGGCUAGAGACCGAUAGCGCACAAGUAGAGUGAUCGAAAGAUGAAAAGCACUUUGAAAAGAGGGUUAAAUAGUACGUGAAAUUGCUAAAAGGGAAGCACUUACAACUAGACGUGGGGGCGUGCAAUCACCUAGUACUCGUACUAGGGCUCUUGGGCGCCUCUAGGCUAGCAUUGGUUUGCCGUGGGGGAUAAAGACUCUAGGAACGUAGCCCCCCUCGGGGGGUGUUAUAGCCUAGUGUGCAAUGCCCUGUGGUAGACCAAGGUCCGCGCUCUGCAAGGAUGCUGGCAUAAUGGUUGUUUAGUGACCCGUCUUGAAACACGGACCAAGGAGUCGUCCUCGUAUGCGAGUGUUUGGGUGUUAAACCCGUGCGCGGAAUGAAAGUAAACGUAGGUGAGAGCCCUCUAGGGCGCAUCACCGACCGAUCCUGAUGUUCUCGGAUGGAUUUGAGUAGGAGCAUACGGGGCCGGACCCGAAAGAAGGUGAACUAUGCCUGCGUAGGGUGAAGCCAGAGGAAACUCUGGUGGAGGCUCGCAGCGGUUCUGACGUGCAAAUCGAUCGUCAAACGUGGGCAUGGGGGCGAAAGACUAAUCGAACCUUCUAGUAGCUGGUUUCC
Molecule: ribosomal RNA, 864 nt
Filed under: Ophiocordyceps thanathonensis
Lineage: Eukaryota; Fungi; Ascomycota; Sordariomycetes; Hypocreales; Ophiocordycipitaceae
Description: LSU rRNA
Rfam family: Eukaryotic large subunit ribosomal RNA
Source: RNAcentral